AAAUCUAAAUCUAUACAUUUUAGCCUCUGAUGUUCAAAUUCCUCCAAAAAACUAACUCUAAUCUCUAAUUUAGCUUUACGUAGCCUCCUCAAAGUCCAUUGGUCAUGAUUUUUGACCAAUAGGAAUGGAGAUUUUUAUCAUCCAUCUCCAUUCAUCUAUAUGGAUACCUUAAAAUCUCUUUUUGCUACCAAAAUCCCUCUCUAACUUAUUUUUUUAUAAGAUUUA
This 225-nucleotide long non-coding RNA is filed under the name Physcomitrium patens. Its description in RNAcentral is "long non-coding RNA (PPAT_LNC008773)". The record is from RNAcentral. Lineage: Eukaryota; Viridiplantae; Streptophyta; Bryopsida; Funariales; Funariaceae.